GCCUUGCGCUAUCAGAUGAGCCUAGGUCGGAUUAGCUAGUUGGUGAGGUAAUGGCUCACCAAGGCUACGAUCCCUAACUGGUCUGAGAGGAUGAUCAGUCACACUGGAACUGAGACACGGUCCAGACUCCUACGGGAGGCAGCAGUGGGGAAUAUUGGACAAUGGGCGAAAGCCUGAUCCAGACAUGCCGCGUGUGUGAAGAAGGUCUUCGGAUUGAAAGCAAUUGAGUUGGGAGGAAGGGCAUAACCUAAUACG
This 255-nucleotide ribosomal RNA is filed under the name uncultured bacterium. RNAcentral describes it as "partial 16S ribosomal RNA". It matches the Rfam family "Bacterial small subunit ribosomal RNA", at positions 210 to 465 of the family's 1533-position model. The record is from RNAcentral.